CUGCCUUGUCUGUGCGGCCAGGGAACCCCAGGCCCGGGGCCUCCACUAGUCCAGCCUCCACCCGCGCGCCUCGGCGGGCAGGGGCUGGGGGCCCUGUAGCACAGAGGUUAGCUUGGGGCCGUGGCCGCACCUGCCCGUCGCGGUCACCCGGGCCUCCCUUCUCUUAGAGGCCGCCAGUCUCUCACCUGGGCAACUCUGGGCAGGACUGGUGGCAAGGUGAGGACUAAGGUCCGCCCCGAGAGACUACGGAAGAGGGCGCUUCUCGAGCAGACCCGAGCAGCCACAGGUGGCCCCUCGCACUGUCCCUGCUUCCCUGCUCGGGUCUCCAAAAGCCCUUCUUGGGGGUCGCUGCCCCAUCUCACUUCCCAUCCCCACGAGUAGGGGGCCCUCUGAGACCUAAGCUGCGGGUCGGCUCGGGAGGGUCUCCCAAAGUGGGGGGCGGGGCGCACAGAUUCCCACCCCCGCCCCUCCAAGCUCUAGGGGAAUGGAUCUGGCUCCCCGAGGGCACACGCCGCCGGCCUGGGGUCAGGACGGAUGGGCGGCGAUGGUGGCAGGGGCAGGCGGGGCUCCGCGCCGGGUCCCACGAGGAGCGGGUGCGAGCCGGAGGGCCGGCUGUACAGGGCGUGGGUCGGCGGCGAUCCAGCGGGGGUGGAGCCGGGAGCCGGGAGCCGCAGCGACGACGCUGGGCGCUCAGAGCUAUGCGUCCGGGGUCUCGGAGAGCUCGAGGGUCGCCCACGUGGGGGCUGCUGCUGCUACUGGGCCUACCGUGGCCUGUGUGGGGGACGAAGGAGUUUCAAGGAAACAGCCUUGGAAAGCCAGUCAUUCUGCAUUGGAGCCUAGAUGGACAACCCCAGCGCGUGGUCACCCUGGAGGAGCCGGUCCCAAAGCUAGAAGUGAGGCUGGUGGCCUUGGAGGCUGAAGGUCAGGAGCUCCUGCUAGAGCUGGAGAAGAAUCACAGGCUGCUGGCCCCAGGAUACACAGAAACCCACUACAGCCCAGAUGGGCGGCCGGUAGUGCUGUUCCCCAACCACAAGCCCUGGCUGAGAUUUGGGGCUGGGUCCUUUGCUCUCCAGGAUCAUUGCCACUACCAUGGGCAUGUAAGGGGCUUCCUGGACUCCUGGGUGGUCCUCAGCAUCUGCUCUGGGAUGAGGGGCCUGAUCACACUCAGCAGCAAUGCCAGCUAUUAUGUGCAUCCCUCGCCAGCUGGGGACUCCAAGGACUUCUUGACCCAUAGGAUCUUCCGGGUGGAGCAGCUGUUCAGAGGGAAAGGAACCUGUGGCCACAGGGACCCAAAGGACAAAAGGAACAUGACCAGCCUUUCGUGUGCCACCCAGAUCAGGGAGAGGCGGGAGUCCCUCCGGAGCCCGAGGUACCUGGAGCUGUACAUAGUAGGGGACCACACCCUGUUUUUGACUCAGCACAGGAACUUGAACCACGCCAAACAGCGUCUUCUGGAGGUCGCCAAUUAUGUGGAUCAGAUUCUCAGGACUUUGGACAUUAAGGUGGUGCUGACCGGCCUGGAAGUGUGGACCGAGCAGGACCAGAGCCGCGUCACGCCAGACGCGAACGCCACGCUGUGGGCCUUCUUGCAGUGGCGCCGGGGGCUGUGGGCGCGGCAGCCACACGACUCUGCUCAGCUACUCACGGGCCAAGCUUUCCGGGGCGCCACAGUGGGCCUGGCACCCGUCGAGGGCAUGUGCCUCGCGGAGAGCUCUGGAGGCGUGACGACAGACCAUUCGGAGUUCCCCAUUGGUGCUGCAGCCACCAUGGCCCACGAGAUAGGCCACAGCCUCGGCCUCAGCCACGACCCCCACGGCUGCUGCGCGGAGGCGGCGGUGGAGCAGGGCGGCUGCGUGAUGGCGGCGGCUACCGGGCACCCGUUCCCUCGCGUGUUUAGCGCCUGCAGCCGCCGCCAGCUACGCGCCUUCUUCCGAAAGGGAGGGGGCGCUUGCCUCUCCAACGCGCCGGACUCCGGGCUCCUGGUGCCGCAGGCGCGCUGCGGGAACGGCUUUGUAGAAAAGGGCGAGGAGUGCGAUUGCGGCGCCGGCCAGGAGUGCCCCGACUCCUGCUGCCUUGCCCACAACUGCUCGCUGCGUGCGGGGGCCCAGUGCACCCACGGGGACUGCUGCGCACACUGCCUGGUGAGGCUGAAGCCGGCGGGCACGCCAUGCCGCCCGGCUGCGGGAGACUGUGACCUCCCUGAAUUCUGCACCGGAGCCUCCCCUUAUUGCCCACCGGACAUUUACCUACUGGACGGCUCGCCCUGCGCCAGAGGCCGCGGCUACUGUCGGGACGGCGCGUGUCCCACGCUGGAGCAGCAGUGCCAGCAGCUCUGGGGGCCUGGCUCGCGCCCAGCCCCGGAGGCUUGCUUCCAGGUCGUGAACUCCGCGGGAGACGCCCAGGGGAACUGCGGCCAGCAGGGAGACGGCAACUUCGUACACUGUGCGCAGAGGGAUGCGCAGUGUGGGAAACUGCAGUGCCAGGGCGGGGAACAGAGCGCACUGGUGCCACACGCGGUUCCGGUGGACUCCACCGUACACCUGGGCAGCCGCGAGGUGACUUGCAGGGGAGCUUCGGUGCUGCCCGGUGUCCAGCUGGACCUGCCUGACUUGGGCCUGGUAGAGGCAGGCACCCAGUGUGGACCUAGAAUGGUGUGCCAGGAAAGGCGCUGCCAGAACACUACCUUCCAAGAGCUGGAGCUCUGCCUGAUGGCCUGCCAUGGCCGCGGGACCGGGACGCCUUCACGCUGGCGAUGAUCCUUAGCUCUGUGCUACCUCUGCUCCCUGGGGCUGGCCUGGCCUGGUGCUGCUGCCGGCGUCCUGGACUCUGUCUCCAGCAAUGCUUCUGGGGUUCAAGGAGGGCCCUCAUGUGCAGUGGGUAGGCACAGAGGUCUAAGGUUCUGCUCCUCAGAGCUCUGCUGGACCUGGCGUAGCUGGGGUGGUAUCUGUUGCCUCAGGUGCAGAGAGGCAGGCAGAAGCAAUGGAAAGAAGCCUUGAGCAGAAGGCCCCAGUGGUCUUCCAGUGAAGCCAAAGGUGUAGGGCCAUGCAGGGCCCCCACGGCCCCCAUUACUGUGGUUCAGUACCCCUUUUCCAUGUCUCCUGUUUCUCCCACCAAGAGGCUGCUUUAUCCUUGGCUUUACCCUGUUUUUCCACCAGCUCAUAGCGCAACUCCUGCUCCACUGAGUAAGGCCUCUCCAGUUUCUCUCUCAUGAACUUUCAGCCCUCUGACAUUUCUUCUGCCAAAAUCUCUGCUGUUACCCCCUUAAAGUUCCCAAAUGCUGGGGCCAACACACCUUUCCUUUCCUUGUCACUGAGGAGCUGUGGUGCUGGCUGCCUUGUGCCAAGGGCCUGCCCCUAACACAGAGCUCCAUGACCUGGGAUGAGGGCCACGUGAUACCAAGUAUUGUCAGUCUAGGGCAGCCUGCUCACUGGGUGCUGGGCAAGGCAGGCCCCCUUUGACCACCUCUGACACAGCCUGGCCUUGGGGACAUUCUGGGCAAAAUGAGGGAGAGGGCGUGGUUUGGACUGGAGAUGGGAAUACAGGGCAUCCCAAGCAGGAGCAGGGCACAGCUGAAAGGGCCUUGACACAAUGAGUGUUGAUUGUGGGUCUGUGAGCAGAGGAUCAAGGUGGUCAGAGCUUGGUGUGUCAUCACUGGGGGCUUACAGGAGGCAGCGACUACAUGUCAUCACCUGGUAAAGUAUUGAGACUGUUGUUUCAAAGAGAUAUCAAAGGAAGUGGUAAGGCCCUAGAAAAUGAGAUGUGAGCAGCUGAGCAUAACUCAGAGUCAUCGAGGGCAGCAGGGUUACCCAAUAGCAAGGAGCACAGACAUGGGUACCACUGGGAAAGGAAGCCCAUCCCUCUUUGGGACCUGAGUGACAUCAACAUCUGGAAGAUGUUCGGGUGUGCCAGAGUUUGGGGAAAAUGUCAGGGUUGGAGAGAGAAAGUGUCCAAGGCCCUGGGAAGCAUAAAUCUCUAGGGUUCCCCUCAGGAGGGAGCAGGAAGCGAGCUGGGGAGAGUGACCUGGGUGCAAGCUUCUACCGCAGGGAAGCAGCCCCAGGGUGCCAUGUCGCUGUCUAAGUCUCCUGGUCUGUUACCCGCUGCCCAGAUCCAAAGAUGGCCCAUGCAGAGGCCACCCUCUGGGCAGCAUUCACCCAAUGGAGUUACGCCUGACAGCCCCUCAGGAGCCCCAGCCUUUGGACCUUGAGAACUCUGCUAGAACCCAACAGCCACCUUGAGAAGUCUGUUCCUCAUAGUC
RNA transcript from Bubalus bubalis (water buffalo), 4255 nucleotides. It is a transcript of the gene named ADAM metallopeptidase domain 33, with no coding region annotated. Lineage: Eukaryota; Metazoa; Chordata; Mammalia; Artiodactyla; Bovidae. The record is from RefSeq and is a predicted model, not a curated record. The transcript has 19 exons.